RNAcentral lists this non-coding RNA (70 nucleotides) under pig gut metagenome. Its description in RNAcentral is "Cyclic di-GMP-I riboswitch". It matches the Rfam family "c-di-GMP-I riboswitch aptamer". From Rfam's summary of the family: GEMM was predicted in a large-scale screen for bacterial structured RNA regulatory elements. The record is from RNAcentral.
UGUGAAGGGCAAAGCUGUCGAAAGGCAGUGACGCAAAGCUAUAGGGUCUGAAAAGACAGCCAGUUGCCGC